ACUCCUACGGGAGGCAGCAGUAGGGAAUCUUCCACAAUGGGCGCAAGCCUGAUGGAGCAACACCGCGUGAGUGAAGAAGGGUUUCGGCUCGUAAAGCUCUGUUGUUAAAGAAGAACACGUAUGAGAGUAACUGUUCAUACGUUGACGGUAUUUAACCAGAAAGUCACGGCUAACUACGUGCCAGCAGCCGCGGUAAUACGUAGGUGGCAAGCGUUAUCCGGAUUUAUUGGGCGUAAAGAGAGUGCAGGCGGUUUUCUAAGUCUGAUGUGAAAGCCUUCGGCUUAACCGGAGAAGUGCAUCGGAAACUGGAUAACUUGAGUGCAGAAGAGGGUAGUGGAACUCCAUGUGUAGCGGUGGAAUGCGUAGAUAUAUGGAAGAACACCAGUGGCGAAGGCGGCUACCUGGUCUGCAACUGACGCUGAGACUCGAAAGCAUGGGUAGCGAACAGGAUUAGAUACCCUGGUAGGAAA
RNAcentral lists this ribosomal RNA (470 nucleotides) under uncultured bacterium. RNAcentral's name for it is "bacterial SSU rRNA". It matches the Rfam family "Bacterial small subunit ribosomal RNA", at positions 335 to 797 of the family's 1533-position model. The record is from RNAcentral.